UUAGUAACACGUGGGGAACCUGCCCCAUAGUCUGGGAUACCACUUGGAAACAGGUGCUAAUACCGGAUAAGAAAGUAGAUCGCAUGAUCAGCUUUUAAAAGGCGGCGUAAGCUGUCGCUAUGGGAUGGCCCCGCGGUGCAUUAGCUAGUUGGUAAGGUAAAGGCUUACCAAGGCGAUGAUGCAUAGCCGAGUUGAGAGACUGAUCGGCCACAUUGGGACUGAGACACGGCCCAAACUCCUACGGGAGGCAGCAGGG
RNAcentral lists this ribosomal RNA (256 nucleotides) under uncultured Lactobacillus sp. RNAcentral's name for it is "partial 16S ribosomal RNA". It matches the Rfam family "Bacterial small subunit ribosomal RNA", at positions 107 to 354 of the family's 1533-position model. Lineage: Bacteria; Bacillati; Bacillota; Bacilli; Lactobacillales; Lactobacillaceae. The record is from RNAcentral.